RNAcentral lists this ribosomal RNA (468 nucleotides) under uncultured bacterium. RNAcentral's name for it is "partial 16S ribosomal RNA". It matches the Rfam family "Bacterial small subunit ribosomal RNA", at positions 28 to 507 of the family's 1533-position model. The record is from RNAcentral.
GACGAACGCUGGCGGCGUGCUUAACACAUGCAAGUCGAACGGAAAGGCCCUGCUCUUGUGGGGUGCUCGAUUGGCGAACGGGUGAGUAACACGCGAGUAACCUGCCCCUGACUUUGGGAUAACUCCAGGAAACUGGGGCUCUUACCGGAUAGGAGCUCCUGCUGCAUGGGGGGGGUUGGAAAGUUUCGGCGGUUGGGGAUGGACUCGCGGCUUAUCAGCUUGUUGGUGGGGUAGGGGCUUACCAAGGCUUUGACGGAUAGCCGGCCUGGGAGGGUGACCGGGCACAUUGGUCCUGAGAGAGGGCCCAGACUCCUACGGGAGGCAGUAGUGGAGAAUAUGGCACAGUGGGCGGAAGCCAGAUGCGGCAACGCCGCGUGCGGGAUACCGGCCUUCGGGUUGUAAACCGCUUUCGCCUGUGACGAAGCGUGAGUGACGGUAAUUGAUAAAGAAGCACCGGCUAACUACGUG